Anas platyrhynchos (mallard) is the source of this 2046-nucleotide non-coding RNA. The record is from RefSeq and is a predicted model, not a curated record. NCBI's taxonomy places the organism in Eukaryota, Metazoa, Chordata, Aves, Anseriformes, Anatidae.
UUUAAUCAAAUAGAAAUACUGAGUUCAGUGCAGAAUUACUGUCAGAAUAAGUCUUCAGGGACAUAUUGCACACAAAGUCAAGUAAUCAAGGAUUAAUUUAUCUUCUAUGAACUUCAAAAUCUGUUAAUCCCCAUGUGUUUUUUCCUGUAAUAUCCUAAAAAGUAUCGAUGGGAAAAUGAUUAAUAAUGUACUUCAUGGACAAAAUUUCCCCUUUGGUGGCAUUUGUGCUAAUGCACAAAAACAUACCCAGCCACCUUAAAAUACAGCUCCAUUUUGUGUGUUAUUGUCUAUUUUGAAUAGGAAGUUUUUUCAGGUGCUCAGUGCCUAAUUUUAGAAUUUCCUAACUAAAUAGUCUGCUUAUUAGGAAGUAGAUAAUAGCAGUCUAUUUGAGUAGCCAUGUCCAAUGGCUUUUUUUAUAAAGCUCUUGGUUUGCUUGGCGAAUAAAUAGCUGGUGCUCCAUUGUUUGGCUGUGAAGGUCAACAUAUAUAUGGCGGAGCUGAAAGCUGCAAUCCUGGAAAAUGGCAGGGCAGCUCUAAUUACUGCAUUCAGCUGUGACAGGCUUCAAAACAAGAAGAGGAAGGGCAAGAGGAAGGCAGCGAGAGAGUGGUUGGAAGCAGAGGCUCCUUGUCAGGGACUGUGCUGUGAGCUGUUGUUCUCCUGCAGCACGAUGCUGCUGGAAUUCAGUUGCUGAGAGUGAAUUAUGGACUUCUGGAUGGGGAAGGUAUGAAAUGCCUUCUUUUGGAGGAAAUGCCUUCUUUAUCUCCUCCUCAGAAUACAUCAGCUUCUUAUGCUCUGAACAUACCGAUGCUGUGAUCCAGCCUUUUGAUGGACUGCCAUUAGCUGCACUGACUGCCUGCCCAGGAAUUAGGCUCACUGUUUUUCAGGAUCUUUACCUUUAAUUUCUGGAGAUGGUGAUAUCUUAAAUGGAUGAUCUCAGCUCAUUUGGUUUCAUUCAGAAACCAAUCAACCUAAAUCAUCUUCAGUGAUGUCUGGGUUAAAAGCACCUCCCGCUACCCUUUUAGUCCCCGUGUCCCAAUGGAAAUGGUGAAAACUUGGACAGGGAGAAGAGCAGGUUGCUGCAGUAGUCUACAGGCCUGAUGUGAUGGGAAGAGGAGGGAGAAAUCCCCCCAUACCUCUACAAUAAUUCUCAGUGAUCCCUGUCAUAGGGAUUUUACUGUGUGCAGUUCAUAUAGAGGGAGCUGAGGCAUGAGAAUGACACACGUUAUUUUUUGUAGUUGCAUUAAAAAAAAGUAUUUGGGCUAGAGAUCAGCUUCUAAACACAUCUUCUGUCACUGCACAUGAAGUGAAUCCUGCUCUGAGCACUUCUCGUGCUGUCCAUUUGGAAGAAUUAUUGCAGGAUAGGUGGUUUCAUCAGCGGGACUCUGACAUUUGUUAGAGGCUUCCAACAAAAGGUGGUGAGGUGGAGGCUGGUGAUGAAUGAGCCAGGACAAGGACCGGGGCUGCUCUGCUGUCGGUGCCUUUUUCCAGAAAGGAGCAGGGAGCGUGGCGAGCAGGAAGGAAGAAUUUGCUGAGAAUAAAUUCAACACAGUGGAACAAAGUGUUCCCCUUAAAUGUGUUCUUCAGCCAGAAUAGCAGCAGCGUUUCUGCCAAGUAUGGGGCCUGCUGCAGGAACAGUUUGGCAAGGGGAAAAAUAUAGCCAAAUUUGUGUGAAGCAGUCUGAUAGUGGGUGGCUGGAUUAUGCAAUUUUACUGAUAUCCAGACUUUAUUAUCCCUCACAAAGUGUUUCUGAAUUAAGCAAAAUGGUAGAGCAGCUGACUCUUAUUUUUUCUUCUUCGCUGCCCCCUUUCCAAAAGUUGUGCAUUUAAACACCUCUGUUCCUAUUCUUGAAACCUGAGACGGAAAGCUGGGAGGACAGAGCUUGUAAUGAAAUCCUCCUCAGGAACCUGAGGGCAGGGCUGCAAUAUGAGCUGUUGCAGCGUCGGAAAUUCUUGGCUUUGUUGAAGCUUGGUCCUGGAAGGGAUAGGCCAGAAAAUAACCCCCCCUCUUUAAAAUUUAAAAAAAAAAAAAAAAAAAAAAAGAGAGAGA